This 408-nucleotide ribosomal RNA is filed under the name Triticum aestivum (bread wheat). RNAcentral describes it as "partial small subunit ribosomal RNA". The record is from RNAcentral. Lineage: Eukaryota; Viridiplantae; Streptophyta; Magnoliopsida; Poales; Poaceae.
AUGCAGCUCCAGGGCGAUGCCGCAGACGCAGAGCCGCCCCUCUUCGCGCCCUUGCCCCAAGCAGUGAUCGGCCGGCAGCCGGUCAGAGACAAGACGCCCCUCAAGACCAGGGUAGUGCCCAAGCCGACUCAACAGAGCCUCAGGCAAGCCAGCAAUCCAUCACCAGUGCCAGUCUGCCAGAGGGCGACGCUGUGUCUGGUGCACGGGCUUGGGAUCCUUGGCCCAAAGGAGAAGAUGACGGCCCAGGAAGCGGAGGCCCUCAUUCGCUGCUUCGACGAACCGUUGACGGACUCCGACAUUGCUGCCAUAGCGAAGCUCACCCACCUCGACCCCAGAGCGCUCAAGGCAAUCGCCGGCGUCAACGACCACCUCUCCUCGUUGACGACGACCAGCAUGGUGCUGGAGUAG